AAAUAAUUCACUGCUCAUAAACUUUUAAGCAUAAACUCAAAGAAUAAUAACCAAGUAGAUCAUAAUACUACCUAAAAACCUUUGAUUAUAACAGAAUUUUGAUAAUUUCAAAUAAUUUUGACUAAUGUUAGUGUCAUCUCUGAAUUAAGAAAUAAAUUAAUGGUGAGGACUAUGGGAGCACUCAAAUUGAUGAGCAUCAUUCUGAUUCCAGCAGAAGUUUUAUGUAUUUUUUCAAUGUAUGCCACAUCAGAAUAUGAUGACCAAAACAUGAUAUAUGGCACAUGGAUUAGUGACACUGAAGUCUCAGAUAGGAGAACUGACUCAAAAACUUAUAUAAUUAUAACAAAAAAUAUUUAUUUCAUCAUAAAAGAAUAUUACUUAAUAAUAAUACAUAAUUAUAAGAAACAGAUGACACUAUCAAACCUAUAGAAAUAAUUAGGCUUAACAACUAAUAACAAUUUAGAAUUGUUAUAAUUUUCUUGAGAGAGCUACACUUUUGCCUUUCUGAGCACAUACCUGAAAGAGGGAAUUGAUCAUCAUCUA
Molecule: long non-coding RNA, 543 nt
Filed under: Androctonus crassicauda
Lineage: Eukaryota; Metazoa; Arthropoda; Arachnida; Scorpiones; Buthidae
Source: RNAcentral